RNAcentral lists this transfer RNA (72 nucleotides) under Gaiellales bacterium. Its description in RNAcentral is "tRNA-Ile". It matches the Rfam family "tRNA". Rfam says of the family: Transfer RNA (tRNA) molecules are approximately 80 nucleotides in length. Their secondary structure includes four short double-helical elements and three loops (D, anti-codon, and T loops). The record is from RNAcentral. RNAcentral also lists the same sequence under 1 other name. Lineage: Bacteria; Bacillati; Actinomycetota; Thermoleophilia; Gaiellales.
AGGGGCGUAGCUCAGCGGUAGAGCAGCCGGCUCAUAACCGGUAAGGCCCUGGUUCGAAUCCAGGCGCCCCUA